Nerophis lumbriciformis (worm pipefish) is the source of this 218-nucleotide small nucleolar RNA. RefSeq annotates it as small nucleolar RNA SNORA73 family. The record is from RefSeq and is a predicted model, not a curated record. Lineage: Eukaryota; Metazoa; Chordata; Actinopteri; Syngnathiformes; Syngnathidae.
CUGAUGUGGGCAUCCAGAGAGUUGCUCUCCUGGCUCUGUCCUGGUGGCGUACGGGAGCGUAGCCUUGAGCUAAGACGUACAUUCCCCUUCCACACCGUCAGAGACUAAGUUCUGUCCCCGGCUCAUAGCUGGUGAGGACGAACGUCCUGCAUAUUCCUACAGCUUCCCAGAGUCCUUUGGGACCGUUACUGGGGAGCCAAACCAUGCAGUGCACACUU